CAUAGCGACUAUCGUGGCAUAUCAAUAAGCGGAGGAAAAGAAACUAACAAGGAUUCCCUAGUAACGGCGAGUGAAGCGGGAAGAGCUCAAAUUUGAAAUCUUCAAGGUUUACCUUGACGAAUUGUAGUUUAAAGAAGUGUUUUUGUUGGAGUUUUGGUAAAAGUUCUUUGGAAUAGGACAUCAUAGAGGGUGAGGAUCCCGUAUUUGACCAUUAUUUCCAGCUGUGUGAUACACUUUCAAAGAGUCGGAUUGUUUGGGAAUGCAGUCCAAAAUGGGUGGUAAAUUUCAUCUAAAGCUAAAUAUUGGCGAGAGACCGAUAGCGAACAAGUACCGUGAGGGAAAGAUGAAAAGAACUUUGAAAAGAGAGUUAAACAGUACGUGAAAUUGUCAAAAGGGAAGCGUUUGACACCAGUGUUGUUUUCUCGAAAAUCAAUUAAAAAUGGUGGGACUUUGUGUUGUAUUGACCUUAUCAGCUUUCUGCACUUUUUUCCUAUCUUUUUUAAUGCACUUUUCGUUUAACAAGUCAACAUCAAUUUCUUUUGCUGUAAAAGAGUCAUUGGAAGGUGGCUUUCUUUUCGGAGAAAGUGUUUAUAGCCUUUGACUUCUGCAGUCGGAGAGAUUGAGGUCUGCAGCGUAGAUCCUUCGGGGUUAGAUACAUUUGUGCUAAGCUAUAGCCUUUCAUAGACAACUUGUUGACUAUGAUCAGUCAUGUAGCUUACUCGCUUAUGCUAUUUUACCUACGCUUAGGAUGUUGACGAGACUGUCGAUCUC
This 771-nucleotide ribosomal RNA is filed under the name uncultured Neocallimastigales. RNAcentral describes it as "partial large subunit ribosomal RNA". It matches the Rfam family "Eukaryotic large subunit ribosomal RNA", at positions 22 to 646 of the family's 3401-position model. The record is from RNAcentral. Lineage: Eukaryota; Fungi; Neocallimastigomycota; Neocallimastigomycetes; Neocallimastigales.